Molecule: ribosomal RNA, 332 nt
Filed under: uncultured eukaryote
Lineage: Eukaryota
Description: partial 18S ribosomal RNA
Rfam family: Eukaryotic small subunit ribosomal RNA
Source: RNAcentral
CCCUUAGAUGUCCUGGGCUGCACGCGCGCUACACUGGAAGUUACGGAUUGAGAUACUACCUUGUCCGAAAUGGUCCGGGUAAUCACCUAAAAGCUUGUCAUAAUUGGAAUGGAUUAUUGUAACUAGUAAUCCUGAACGAGGAAUUCCUAGUAAGUCCCAGUUAACAGCUGGUACUGAUUACGUCCCUGCCCUUUGUACACACCGCCCGUCGCUACUACUGAUUGGACGUUUAAGCAAGAUUUUUAAACACUGACAGUGUGUAGUUCACGCUAUACUACAGUGAGAAGAAGAAGAUCGAGCUUACUUGUCUAGAGGAAGUAAAAGUCGUAACA